RNAcentral lists this ribosomal RNA (540 nucleotides) under Bacillus licheniformis. Its description in RNAcentral is "bacterial SSU rRNA". It matches the Rfam family "Bacterial small subunit ribosomal RNA", at positions 34 to 558 of the family's 1533-position model. The record is from RNAcentral. Lineage: Bacteria; Bacillati; Bacillota; Bacilli; Caryophanales; Bacillaceae.
CGCUGGCGGCGUGCUAAUCAUGCACGUCGAGCGGAAAGAUGGGAAGCUUGCUCCCUGAUGUUAGCGGCGGACGGGUGAGUAACACGUGGGUAACCUGCCUGUAAGACUGGGAUAACUCCGGGAAACCGGGGCUAAUACCGGAUGGUUGUUUGAACCGCAUGGUUCAAACAUAAAAGGUGGCUUCGGCUACCACUUACAGAUGGACCGCGGCGCAUUAGCUAGUUGGUGAGGUAACGGCUCACCAAGGCAACGAUGCGUAGCCGACCUGAGAGGGUGAUCGGCCACACUGGGACUGAGACACGGCCCAGACUCCUACGGGAGGCAGCAGUAGGGAAUCUUCCGCAAUGGACGAAAGUCUGACGGAGCAACGCCGCGUGAGUGAUGAAGGUUUUCGGAUCGUAAAGCUUUGUUGUUAGGGAAGAACAAGUACCGUUCGAAUAGGGCGGUACCUUGACGGUACCUAACCAGAAAGCCACGGCUAACUACGUGCCAGCAGCCGCGGUAAUACGUAGGUGGCAAGCGUUGUCCGGAAUUAUGGGC